RNAcentral lists this ribosomal RNA (331 nucleotides) under uncultured eukaryote. RNAcentral describes it as "partial 18S ribosomal RNA". It matches the Rfam family "Eukaryotic small subunit ribosomal RNA", at positions 1470 to 1796 of the family's 1831-position model. The record is from RNAcentral.
CCCUUAGAUGUUCUGGGCCGCACGCGCGCUACACUGACGAAGUCAGCGAGCAUGUCCUACGCCGACAGGUGCGGGGAAUCUUGUCAAACUUCGUCGUGAUGGGGAUUGAUUAUUGAAAUUCUUGAUCAUCAACGAGGAAUUCCUAGUAAGCGCAAGUCAGCAGCUUGCGUUGAUUACGUCCCUGCCCUUUGUACACACCGCCCGUCGCUACUACCGAUUGAAUGGUUUAGUGAGAUCUUCGGAUUGGCGCCACUGCGGCUCAGCAAUGGGCUCGGUGGAUGCCGAAAAGUUGAUCAAACUUGAUCAUUUAGAGAAAGUAAAAGUCGUAACA